RNAcentral lists this long non-coding RNA (560 nucleotides) under Equus caballus (horse). Its description in RNAcentral is "lncRNA (ENSECAG00000057873.1)". The record is from RNAcentral. Lineage: Eukaryota; Metazoa; Chordata; Mammalia; Perissodactyla; Equidae.
CCAAGGUUUUUGUUCCUAAACAAUCUUCUCCCUUCCUGGGUUAAAGUGUCCAUGAGUACAGAGAACUCAGACCGCAUCACUUAACCUCUUGACUCAGAUUCUUUAACAGAAGAGGAGAAAGAGAGUCUGGUGAAGAAUAAAAGGAAUAAUACUGUGCCUUGAAAAAUCACUAGCCUGAACAAAUUGAAAAUCUCCUAAAUCCCCUUCAGCUCCAUCAUCAAAUGGUCAUUUGCUCCAGGCAAGAAGACUCAUAGGUAAUGUUUCCUGUCCUUCAUGGAAAAUUAACUCAAAACAGAUCCACACUAAAUGGAAGAGCCACUCUGUGGAAAGAUGAUAUGUGACUAUUGGUCACAGAACCAUUGGUGGUUCAAUGGUUCUGAGGGUAGCACAAAGACAUGUUAUUCCUGAGUUCUGCUGAUGUCUAAAGAUGUUGCCAAUACGCUAAAUGGAAACCAGCCAGAUCAAAUCGUUAUGAACAAAAUAUCACAGAGAGAAAAUUAACUUUUAAAAAAUUUAAUACAAAUAAAUGGUAAUUCCCAAUUUUCUUACCCUUAGGAGCA